AGUUUUGUGCCAUGGCAGUAUCGUAGCCAGUGAGAUUUAUACAAGGUACAAUUAUUGUUAAUUGAAAACUUUUCCCAAUAUCCCACCAUGACAACUUGCAACAUGGUCAGCAUUGGCAAUUUUUGAUAGUCUCUAUGUAGA
Small nuclear RNA from Callithrix jacchus (white-tufted-ear marmoset), 141 nucleotides. Its record names the gene U4. It matches the Rfam family "U4 spliceosomal RNA". From Rfam's summary of the family: U4 small nuclear RNA (U4 snRNA) is a component of the major U2-dependent spliceosome. The structure of U4 snRNA from yeast and human has been reported. NCBI's taxonomy places the organism in Eukaryota, Metazoa, Chordata, Mammalia, Primates, Cebidae. The record is from Ensembl.